Molecule: ribosomal RNA, 264 nt
Filed under: uncultured bacterium
Lineage: Bacteria
Description: partial 16S ribosomal RNA
Rfam family: Bacterial small subunit ribosomal RNA
Source: RNAcentral
GUCCACGCCCUAAACGAUGUCAACUGGUUGUCGGGGAAGCAAUUCCUUGGUAACGAAGCUAACGCGUGAAGUUGACCGCCUGGGGAGUACGGCCGCAAGGUUAAAACUCAAAGGAAUUGACGGGGACCCGCACAAGCGGUGGAUUAUGUGGAUUAAUUCGAUGCAACGCGAAAAACCUUACCUACCCUUGACAUGUACGGAACCUCGCAGAGAUGUGAGGGUGCCCGAAAGGGAGCCGUAACACAGGUGCUGCAUGGCUGUCGU